Molecule: long non-coding RNA, 189 nt
Filed under: Microtus ochrogaster (prairie vole)
Lineage: Eukaryota; Metazoa; Chordata; Mammalia; Rodentia; Cricetidae
Description: Nuclear RNase P (ENSMOCG00000003325.1)
Rfam family: Nuclear RNase P (bases 54-187)
About the family: Ribonuclease P (RNase P) is a ubiquitous endoribonuclease, found in archaea, bacteria and eukarya as well as chloroplasts and mitochondria. Its best characterised activity is the generation of mature 5'-ends of tRNAs by cleaving the 5'-leader elements of precursor-tRNAs.
Source: RNAcentral
CCACUUAUGAGUGAGUAUAUGUUUAAAAAGCACUUACGAGUGAGUAUAUAUCUGCGGCCCAAACUGGGGCCCUCUCAGAGCGGGGAGGUGAGUUCCCAGAGAGCAGGGCUCCACACAUGGGCAGACUGGGCAGGAGAGGCCCUGAGUGGCCUGAUGCCUCCCUCACCGGAGCUUGGAAUAGACUCAUGG